This is a long non-coding RNA of Canis lupus familiaris (dog), 755 nucleotides long. RefSeq lists it as uncharacterized. The record is from RefSeq and is a predicted model, not a curated record. Lineage: Eukaryota; Metazoa; Chordata; Mammalia; Carnivora; Canidae. The transcript has 4 exons.
GAGAACAAGAUGUUCUGUUGUUGCCCUACAUUCAGUGGCUCUGGGCUUCAGGGAGACCAGACAGAGAGAUGUUCAUGUGGCUAUGGACAUCAGCUCAGACUCUUCGCCGAAGCUUCUGGUUAUGUGCGUGAGACCUCAACAGAACCAGCUGCCACGGUUUGGAAGCCUGACACAUCUUUGAUGUUCAGACGCCAGGUCAUAGCAGGCAAGAUGAGAAGUUGAGUGCUGAGGACCAAGCUCAACUUCAAAGCUGCACCCAGGAAAUCUUGGAGGAGAUGUUCUGUGGCUUCAACACUUCUAACUCCCUAGACAAUGAUCGGGUGCACCAGGCAAACAAGGAGCAGUGCUGUUCCGAGGUCUGAGUUGAGAGAAAUGCGGGUGUUGCUCAACUACUUGAAUGUAUUGAAGUUGCCAAUGCUGUGCCCUGCGUCCCAACCAACCAAUGGUAUUUUGAAGCCUAGAUCCUUUUUCUGUGUGGGCCCUGAAGUCCUUUGUCCUCCAAAACUUCCUGAGGGGAUGGGUAUCUCUGGGCUGAGCGCCAGACCCUGUUCUUCCCAGUGGCCCGUGGUUUGAAUGCUGACCACAGCGCCCCUCCUUGUGUCUCUGGUGUGGAAAGGAAACAUCCACCCUGACCCUGGGUGAGGCCUGGACCAUGCGUAUGCUCCGAGAAGGCAGAAUAGAUACUUUGUUAUUUUUUAACAACUUUAUUUUUUAUUGGUGUUCAAUUUACGAACAUACAGAUUAACACCCAGUGC